RNAcentral lists this ribozyme (116 nucleotides) under Aedes aegypti (yellow fever mosquito). RNAcentral's name for it is "drz-agam-1 ribozyme". It matches the Rfam family "drz-agam-1 ribozyme". Lineage: Eukaryota; Metazoa; Arthropoda; Insecta; Diptera; Culicidae. The record is from Rfam by way of RNAcentral.
UGCCCAGCAACUCCUAUCCCUACCUCCUCGUGGUACUGGCCGGGGUACGAGUAACCUUGGGGAAGAUCGGGUAACCAACCCCGAUGGGAGCUUUGGGUGUUUGCUGACAGGGAAGG